RNAcentral lists this transfer RNA (72 nucleotides) under Streptomyces nanshensis. RNAcentral's name for it is "tRNA-Pro". It matches the Rfam family "tRNA". Rfam says of the family: Transfer RNA (tRNA) molecules are approximately 80 nucleotides in length. Their secondary structure includes four short double-helical elements and three loops (D, anti-codon, and T loops). Lineage: Bacteria; Bacillati; Actinomycetota; Actinomycetes; Kitasatosporales; Streptomycetaceae. The record is from RNAcentral.
CAGCGUGUAGCUCAGUGGGAGAGCGCCCGGUUUGGGGCCGGGAAGUCGUAGGUUCAAGUCCUAUCACGUUGA